UCCAGCUUCGAUCAGAUCCACUAGGUGAAGUUUCUAGAUACACUCUUCUGAUCUUCUAUUCAUCGCGUUCAGCUCGGAAUAUUCUGUUUUUGUUUCUCUGAUUGGAUUCGAUUGCGACCAUCGUCAUCUGAGAUUCAAACGAGAUUUCAAUCGAACCGAUUGAAAUUGGAAUCUAGAAACCACGAUCUGCUCAUUGCUUAGGCUUCAAUCAAAUUAUCGUCGUCAUUAUUCGUAGCUUGAUUUUCUGCUCAGGAUUUCAAAAGCGGGAUGAGCGAGAUGAACGUGUUCAGAUCGAGGAGCAAUGUGGAAACCAGCUGAAGAGAGGCGCUUGAGAUUAGCCAUAAGACUCUUAAAGAAGAGAACGAAAGGCUGAAGAAGCUGUAUACCGAAUCGUUAAACAACUUCGUCGAUCAGCUUGAGCAUCGAACUAAGGUGCCACAGCUUGAAAGAAGAGCUGAAAAGAAUGAAUGAUGAAAAUAGAAGCAAAGAGCAUGUGAGACUCCAAACAAAAGCUUUUUCAGCAAGUUAAGCUUUUUCAGAAAGACAAAACACACAAAAUCUCUGAACCAGUUCCGAGCUCAACAUUUGUCAUCUUCACUGUAUCUAUCAGUCACGUUGUUUCUCAACAAGCCAAGCUUCUUCUCUGUUUCUCUCACGUAAAGUCUCACCUCCACUGAUGAAUCCAAACUUGACUUAAAUGCUCUGUCUUUGAGCGUUUCCUUCCAUGGGUGGAGAGAGGCGAACUCAGCUUUCAAGUCUUGGGCUAUAAAAAUGUCAUCUUUACACAGACCCACAUAGAGAAAAGCUGGGAUCUUCGAAGCAGUCAUGGCAUCUACCAAAGGACUCAACAAAGACACAAAGAAACCAAGAGCUACUGGUUAGUUCAAUAUUAUUGAUCAAUUUGAAGUUUUUUGAUUGUGCAUUGUGGUAAAGUUUGUUGUACUGAAAGUGUUUUAUAAAUUUCUUUUAAGAAUCCAUAAUUAAGAGACUUGCAAUAAAGUACUUAAAUGUUCAAAUCUCUUUCUAAGUCUCUUAACUCACUUUUACACUUUAAAAACUAUUAAAAAUUAAUUAAGACAUCCUUUAAAGGGUUUUGGGAUAAUGGUGCUCUAAAAGACGUCUCUUAGCUUUUUUACGCUAAGAACCUCAACCUAAAAGACCUGCAAUAAAUAUGCUCUAAGAUCUAUGUAUAAAAGGAAUCGAAACCUACACUAGUUUGGAUUGGUUUCGUCUUUAAUAGGUCACAUUCUCAAUAUAUUUUUAUUAUAUGGUUUGUCUGGUUCAGGUUAUAGUUUGACAAAUAUAGAAAAAUACAACGAACCAGACAAAUUGAAAGAUUCAGAUGCGCUUUCAGAUUGGCUUUUCAAUUGAUCUGGAUUGCGUAGAUACGGGAUUGUGUAGUGAAGAAACCCUAGUAUAGAUAAUAGACUUCAAGUGGCAGUUUAUAGACUUCAAGGGGCUAUAUUCAAAAGUAAACGGGUGUGAAUAGAUUGGAGUCAAAACUUGUGGGUUAAAAAUAGAUUUACUUUUCUGCGUGAAUAAAUUGGGCUCCCUUUUCUAACAUGUACUUCCCACAAAUAUUUAAUUCAGAAAAUAGCCGCUCGAAUGACGGCAAUUUCACCUAACAAUGAACGCGGAGCUUGUUCACCAGAAAAGUGGUUGAUGCUUAACGUGCUCAUAUUUGUUUUCUGCUAGAUCACAACAUUGGGU
Molecule: long non-coding RNA, 1710 nt
Organism: Brassica napus (rape)
Lineage: Eukaryota; Viridiplantae; Streptophyta; Magnoliopsida; Brassicales; Brassicaceae
Exons: 5
Source: RefSeq, a predicted model, not a curated record